This 758-nucleotide long non-coding RNA is filed under the name Malus domestica (apple). RNAcentral's name for it is "long non-coding RNA (MDOM_LNC016265)". Lineage: Eukaryota; Viridiplantae; Streptophyta; Magnoliopsida; Rosales; Rosaceae. The record is from RNAcentral.
UGCAAUAGACCUCAAACUUGAGGUGACAAAGUGUAAUUUACCCUUUGUGUUACUAAGUCAUGUCGUUUUGUAUUCUGAUGUUGGUCUGCUAAGUGUUGUGUUUAUGUUAGUCAAGUUUUCUAUUCGUGCCGUUUUAUUAAAACGAGAAGAAUAAAAAAAAUACAAUUAAAAUAUAAGAGCGCACAAAGUUAAAAAAGUGCAAAAAGUGAAAAAAAUUGUUAUAAACUUCUUGUUUAAGUGUGAUUGUGUAAAUCCUAGAUUAGAUUUAAUUCUAGUUAUUCUUUCCUAUAUGGACUUGUAUUCCUUGGAGGAGAAGAUUUAUUCUCUCUCUUAUUACUAUAAAUAAAGGCACUGCGUAGGGGGAAUAACACAUCAUCUACACAUUCUUCUACAUAUCCCUACAAACGCAUCUCUCUCCCUGCCGCUGGCCCCCUUCCCUUGUCAAAUAAAAUAGGUUACAACACAUUAUCAGCACGCUCCUACCGUUGCGCUUAGGAAUCUAACGUGGAAGCUUUCUGCAUCAAACUAGUUCACCAAUAUCAUCACACAAUCAGGUUCUUCCAAAACAACAGUUUUUAUCUCGAUAUUUUUGCAGCCCUGAUAGCAUAAACAUUUACCAUAAUGCAUGACCCAACUUUACGUUUUUCGAAUUUUAGAUUCUACAUAAAUUGUGUAUGCAUUAUAUCCAUAAUUGUUGAAUUAUAUGAAUUUGAUAUUGCCAUGAAUUGCAUCAAAUAUAUGUUCAUUCAUUAAAUUAU